This 857-nucleotide ribosomal RNA is filed under the name Streptomyces sp. Sp080513M2-22. RNAcentral's name for it is "bacterial SSU rRNA". It matches the Rfam family "Bacterial small subunit ribosomal RNA", at positions 42 to 914 of the family's 1533-position model. Lineage: Bacteria; Bacillati; Actinomycetota; Actinomycetes; Kitasatosporales; Streptomycetaceae. The record is from RNAcentral.
GCGUGCUUAACACAUGCAAGUCGAACGAUGAAGCCCUUCGGGGUGGAUUAGUGGCGAACGGGUGAGUAACACGUGGGCAAUCUGCCCUGCACUCUGGGACAAGCCCUGGAAACGGGGUCUAAUACCGGAUACGAGCCUCCCGGGCAUCUGGGAGGUUGGAAAGCUCCGGCGGUGCAGGAUGAGCCCGCGGCCUAUCAGCUUGUUGGUGAGGUAACGGCUCACCAAGGCGACGACGGGUAGCCGGCCUGAGAGGGCGACCGGCCACACUGGGACUGAGACACGGCCCAGACUCCUACGGGAGGCAGCAGUGGGGAAUAUUGCACAAUGGGCGAAAGCCUGAUGCAGCGACGCCGCGUGAGGGAUGACGGCCUUCGGGUUGUAAACCUCUUUCAGCAGGGAAGAAGCGAAAGUGACGGUACCUGCAGAAGAAGCGCCGGCUAACUACGUGCCAGCAGCCGCGGUAAUACGUAGGGCGCAAGCGUUGUCCGGAAUUAUUGGGCGUAAAGAGCUCGUAGGCGGCUUGUCGCGUCGAUUGUGAAAGCCCGGGGCUUAACUCCGGGUCUGCAGUCGAUACGGGCAGGCUAGAGUGUGGUAGGGGAGAUCGGAAUUCCUGGUGUAGCGGUGAAAUGCGCAGAUAUCAGGAGGAACACCGGUGGCGAAGGCGGAUCUCUGGGCCAUUACUGACGCUGAGGAGCGAAAGCGUGGGGAGCGAACAGGAUUAGAUACCCUGGUAGUCCACGCCGUAAACGGUGGGCACUAGGUGUUGGCGACAUUCCACGUCGUCGGUGCCGCAGCUAACGCAUUAAGUGCCCCGCCUGGGGAGUACGGCCGCAAGGCUAAAACUCAAAGGAAUUGAC